Molecule: ribosomal RNA, 720 nt
Filed under: uncultured Planctomycetota bacterium
Lineage: Bacteria; Pseudomonadati; Planctomycetota
Description: bacterial SSU rRNA
Rfam family: Bacterial small subunit ribosomal RNA
Source: RNAcentral
GAGCACGUAGGUGGGUUUGUAAGUCAGACGUGAAAGCCUUCUGUUCAACGGAAGAAUUGCAUCUGAAACUACAAACCUUGAGUGUAGGAGGGGAGAAUGGAACUUCUGGUGGAGCGGUGAAAUGCGUAGAUAUCAGAAGGAACGCCGGCGGCGAAAGCGAUUCUCUGGCCUAUUACUGACACUCAGUGUGCGAAAGCUAGGGGAGCAAACGGGAUUAGAUACCCCGGUAGUCCUAGCCGUAAACGAUGGGCACUAAGUAGGGGGAAUUACCGAUGUUCUCUCUGCCGUAGCUAACGCAUUAAGUGCCCCGCCUGGGGAGUACGGCCGCAAGGCUAAAACUCAAAAGAAUUGACGGGGGCUCGCACAAGCGGUGGAGCAUGUGGCUUAAUUCGAUGCAACGCGAAAAACCUUACCGGGGCUUGACAUGGUAGAAGUAGGAACCCGAAAGGGUAACGAACGGUAUCCAGUCCGUGACUAUCACAGGUGUUGCAUGGCUGUCGUCAGCUCGUGUCGUGAGACGUUGGGUUAAGUCCCCUAACGAGCGAAACCCUUGUUUUUAGUUGCCAGCGGGUUGUGCCGGGCACUCUAGAAAGACUGCCGUCGUCAAGACGGAGGAAGGUGGGGAUGACGUCAAGUCAUCAUGGCCCUUAUGCCCCGGGCUGCACACGUGCUACAAUGGCCGGUACAAACGGAAGCGAAGCCGAGAGGUGAAGCGAAUCC